Molecule: ribosomal RNA, 466 nt
Filed under: uncultured bacterium
Lineage: Bacteria
Description: bacterial SSU rRNA
Rfam family: Bacterial small subunit ribosomal RNA
Source: RNAcentral
GACGAACGCUGGCGGCGUGCCUAACACAUGCAAGUCGAACGGAGUAAAACGCUGAAUUGAUGUAAGCUUGCUUAUGGAUUUUCUUGUUUUACUUAGUGGCGGACGGGUGAGUAACGCGUGAGUAACCUGCCUUACAGAGGGGGACAACAGUUGGAAACGACUGCUAAUACCGCAUGACAUAUCUUAGCUGCAUGGCUUAGAUAUCAAAGGAGCAAUCCGCUGUAAGAUGGACUCGCGUCCAAUUAGCUAGUUGGUGAGGUAACGGCCCACCAAGGCGACGAUUGGUAGCCGGACUGAGAGGUUGAACGGCCACAUUGGGACUGAGACACGGCCCAGACUCCUACGGGAGCAGCAGUGGGAAUCUUCCGCAAUGGACGAAAGUCUGACGGAGCAAUGCCGCGUGAGUGAUGAAGGUUUUCGGACCGUAAAGCUCUUUUGUUAUGACGAAUGUGCAUGAUGUGAACAA